GAGUCACCUUUAAGAACUGAGUUGAACUCAGACAUAAGCUUCCCCCCUUUUUUCUUUUGCUACAACUUUGAGCACUCAGAAAAGUCCUCAAGGCAAGCACCUUAUAAAAUAAAUCCCACUAGUUUAAACUUUUUCUAAAUGAACUGUCUGUUUAGGCUUUCUUUUCUUAACUGCUUUCUAGGCUUGAUCGAUCCACGAAAAAUUUGAUUCUAAACUCGUUUCAAAACUAGAGGGGGGCAGCGUUUCGUUUCUGAAGGUAUUUCCGAAUUUUGCCCCCCAAAAAAUUCGAAAUUAAUGAAAAUUCGUUAUCUUCAAAAUUAAUUCGUUAAUGGCGGACGCGCAUGCGCAAUUCCCAAAAACAGCACAGAGGGAGAGGACUUUACAGGACUCUCCCACCCUCAUUUUUUGAGUGAUCUUCUUCAAACUUGGUACAGUGGUAGAACACAUUUAACACUGAUAGCUCACCAAAAUUUGGAAUGUUUCCCUUAUCCUCUGAUUUUUGGCGAAUUUUCAUAGCUUUUAUAAUAAACCAUUUUUUAAUAAUUGCAGAAAUCUGUUCUUGGUUUGAAAGUCUUAUUUCCUGUUAAAUUGGGUUGUCUUUACUGUGAAAGUCAUUGUUCUACUUCAGAAACUUUGUUUUUGUGGCUGAAACUUUGUUAAAUUGGUGUGUGUGUGAUAUAUACUGUGUAUACUAUAUAUAUAUAGUCCCUGCAUAUGUGUGUGUGUGUUUGCGUAAUAUGUGUAUAUAGGUAAAGGUAAAGGUAUCCCUUGACGUUAAGUUCAGUCAUGUCUGACUCUGGGGGUUGGUGCUCAUCUCCAUUUCUAAGCCCAAGAGCCAGUGUUGUCCAUAGACACCUCCAAGGUCAUGUGGCCGGCAUGACUACAUGGAGUGCCAUUACCUUCCCGCCAGAGCGGUACCUAUUGAUCUACUCACAUUGGCAUGUUUUCAAACCCCGGGAGCGGCAUGAGCGGCCGCUGUUAGCUCCAGCUCCUGCCAACCUAGCAGUUUGAAAACAUGCCAAUGUGAGUAGAUCAAUAGAUCAGGCGGGAAGGUAACGGCGCUCCAUACAGUCAUGCCAGCCACAUGACUUUGGAGGUGUCUACGGACAACGCCGGCUCUUCGGCUUAGAAAUGGAGAUGAGCACCAACCCCCAGAGUCAGUCAUGACUGGACUUAACGUCAGGGGAAACCUUUACUUAACCACAGUUAUGAAUGACCAAAGGAAUCAUUAAAUUCAAGGAAGCUGCUGCAUGUAGUGGAGGCCUUCAGGGAGGUCCUCCUUCAGUUUAUUUCUAAAUAUUUUCUAAGUGGGCAAGGACUUAUACCUUCUCUGCACACAAUAUACCAUGUGGAAAAAUCAAAACACAUGUGUUAUAUUCUACUGCUAUAAGUUUUUAUAAAAUAGUUUAUGGUUUAUAGUGAUGUAUUACUUCCCAAUCCAUAAAUCAGUGAAAGGAUUAAAAGUGGUUUAUAAAAAGCCUCUCCUCCUUUUUGUGAAAGAACUCUAAUC
RNAcentral lists this long non-coding RNA (1510 nucleotides) under Anolis carolinensis (green anole). RNAcentral's name for it is "lncRNA (ENSACAG00000044929.1)". Lineage: Eukaryota; Metazoa; Chordata; Lepidosauria; Squamata; Anolidae. The record is from RNAcentral.